CCUAAUAUCUAGCUUAUACUUCUUUACCCAAACCACACCAACCAAAACAUUAUUUCAUUUUAGUAGGGGGGAUAGAAAAAUUAAUAAACGCUUUAAACCUAGUACCGCAAGGGAAUGAUGAAAUAAUAAUGAAAUACUACAAAGCCCCAUACAGCAAAGCUUAAUACUUGUACCUUUUGCAUCAUGACCAAGCCAGUUUAACCAAGUAAAAAGCAAAUUUUAACUUGACACCCCGAAACUGGGUGAGCUACUUCAAAAUAAUCUAUAGGAUAAACCCGUCCCUGUUGCAAAAGGGUGGGAAAAUUUUCUAGUAGUGGUGAAAAGCUUAUCGAACCCAGAGAUAGCUGGUUUUCCAAGAAAAGAAUUUUAGUUCUACCUUAAGUUUAUGUAUUUACCCUAACAAUUUAUUAAACUUAAGAGCUACUCAAAUAAGGUACAGCUUAUUUGACCUAGGACACAACCUCAUGCCCCGGGUAAUAUUUUUAUUUCUCCCAAGUAGGCCUAAAAGCAGCCUAAAAAGCGUUAAAGCUUCCUUAAUUUUCUCUUCCCCAAUUUCCAACUUCUUUAUUAACCCUCACUUAUUAUUGGAUGACUCCAUAACUAUAUGGAAGACACCAUGCCUGGACUAGUAACAAGAAUAUGAAGUUCUCCUAAAUGUCUGCAUAAGCCAUAAUGGACCAACCAAUGGCAAUUAAAUUAUGACCCCCACUACAACACCGCUCCCCGCAAAACUUGUAGAUCUUAAUGUCAACCUUACACAAGAGCACUAUAGGAAAGAUUAAAAGGAAGAGAAGGAACUCGGCAAACCUUAACCCCGCCUGUUUACCAAAAACAUCGCCUUUUGUUAAAACAUAAAAGGUCCAGCCUGCCCAGUGAUUUUUAAACGGCCGCGGUACCCUAACCGUGCUAAGGUAGCACAAUUACUUGUCUUUUAAAUGAGGACUAGAAUGAAUGUCAUCACGAGGGUUAAACUGUCUCCUCCCCCCAAUCAGUGAAACUGACCUCCCCGUGAAAAGGCGGGGAUUAAAAUAUUAGACGAGAAGACCCCAUGGAACUUUAGACACUGAGCAAAUCUAGACCUUAUUCUCCCAACCCCUGAUUCUUGCCUCUUAGUCUUCGGUUGGGGCGACCACGGAGCAAAAAUCAACCUCCAUGAUGAAUGAACAUUUCUUAUCCAAGAGAUACAUCUCAAAGAAACAGAACACUGACAUUCUGAUCCGAACUUUCGAUCAACGAAACAAGCUACCCUGGGGAUAACAGCGCAAUCUGCCUCAAAAGUCCAUAUUGACAGACAGGUUUACGACCUCGAUGUUGGAUCGGGAUAUCCUAGUGGUGCAGCCGCUACAUAAGGUUCGUUGUUCA
Molecule: ribosomal RNA, 1362 nt
Filed under: Cornufer vitiensis (Fiji tree frog)
Lineage: Eukaryota; Metazoa; Chordata; Amphibia; Anura; Ceratobatrachidae
Description: Platymantis vitiensis (Fiji tree frog) partial 16S ribosomal RNA
Rfam family: Bacterial large subunit ribosomal RNA
Source: RNAcentral